UGGUGAGGUAGAGGUUGCAUGGAUGAUUAGUCGUAUGCUUCGAGACUUGUGAGGUUGAUGAAAGCAUAUAAAAGGCAUCCGUGCCGAAGCAUGAAGAUUUCACAGGUUUUUGUGCUGGGUCUGUACCUGAAAAAGGGCAGGACUGCCGCGGUUACGGUGCGGAGAGCUAUCCGGAGG
This 177-nucleotide non-coding RNA is filed under the name Bacillus gobiensis. Its description in RNAcentral is "Lysine sequence". It matches the Rfam family "Lysine riboswitch aptamer". From Rfam's summary of the family: Riboswitches are metabolite binding domains within certain messenger RNAs that serve as precision sensors for their corresponding targets. Allosteric rearrangement of mRNA structure is mediated by ligand binding, and this results in modulation of gene expression. This family includes riboswitches that sense lysine in a number of genes involved in lysine metabolism, including lysC. The record is from Rfam by way of RNAcentral. Lineage: Bacteria; Bacillati; Bacillota; Bacilli; Caryophanales; Bacillaceae.